This 37-nucleotide non-coding RNA is filed under the name Prorocentrum micans. Lineage: Eukaryota; Dinophyceae; Prorocentrales; Prorocentraceae. The record is from RNAcentral. RNAcentral also lists the same sequence under 2 other names.
UUUUUUUUUUUUUUUUUUUUUUUUUUUUUUUUUUUUU